This 1157-nucleotide ribosomal RNA is filed under the name Natrinema pallidum. RNAcentral's name for it is "bacterial SSU rRNA". It matches the Rfam family "Archaeal small subunit ribosomal RNA", at positions 37 to 1192 of the family's 1478-position model. The record is from RNAcentral. Lineage: Archaea; Methanobacteriati; Methanobacteriota; Halobacteria; Halobacteriales; Natrialbaceae.
AGUCCGAUUUAGCCAUGCUAGUUGCACGAGUUCAGACUCGUAGCAGAUAGCUCAGUAACACGUGGCCAAACUACCCUAUGGAUCCAAAUAACCUCGGGAAACUGAGGCUAAUGUGGAAUAGCGUUCAUCGCCUGGAGUGGCACGAACGCGAAACGUUACGGCGCCAUAGGAUGUGGCUGCGGCCGAUUAGGUAGACGGUGGGGUAACGGCCCACCGUGCCCAUAAUCGGUACGGGUUGUGAGAGCAAGAGCCCGGAGACGGUAUCUGAGACAAGAUACCGGGCCCUACGGGGCGCAGCAGGCGCGAAACCUUUACACUGCACGCGAGUGCGAUAAGGGGACUCCGAGUGCGAGGGCAUAUAGUCCUCGCUUUUCACGACCGUAAGGUGGUCGUAGAAUAAGUGCUGGGCAAGACCGGUGCCAGCCGCCGCGGUAAUACCGGCAGCACGAGUGAUGACCGCUAUUAUUGGGCCUAAAGCGUCCGUAGCUGGCCACGCAAGUCUAUCGGGAAAUCCGCGCGCUUAACGCGCGGGCGUCCGGUGGAAACUGCGUGGCUUGGGACCGGAAGACCAGAGGGGUACGUCCGGGGUAGGAGUGAAAUCCCGUAAUCCUGGACGGACCACCGGUGGCGAAAGCGCCUCUGGAAGACGGAUCCGACGGUGAGGGACGAAAGCUCGGGUCACGAACCGGAUUAGAUACCCGGGUAGUCCGAGCUGUAAACGAUGUCUGCUAGGUGUGGCACAGGCUACGAGCCUGUGCUGUGCCGUAGGGAAGCCGUGAAGCAGACCGCCUGGGAAGUACGUCCGCAAGGAUGAAACUUAAAGGAAUUGGCGGGGGAGCACUACAACCGGAGGAGCCUGCGGUUUAAUUGGACUCAACGCCGGACAUCUCACCAGCAUCGACAAUGUGCAGUGAAAGUCAGGUUGAUGACCUUACUGGAGCCAUUGAGAGGAGGUGCAUGGCCGCCGUCAGCUCGUACCGUGAGGCGUCCUGUUAAGUCAGGCAACGAGCGAGACCCGCACUCCUAAUUGCCAGCAACACCCUCGUGGUGGUUGGGUACAUUAGGAGGACUGCCAGUGCCAAACUGGAGGAAGGAACGGGCAACGGUAGGUCAGUAUGCCCCGAAUGUGCUGGGCGACACGCGGGCUACAAUGGCCG